CAGGUCUUGACAUCUCCUGCCAACCCUAGAGAUAGGGCGUUCCCCUUCGGGGGACAGGAUGACAGGUGGUGCAUGGUUGUCGUCAGCUCGUGUCGUGAGAUGUUGGGUUAAGUCCCGCAACGAGCGCAACCCUUGUCCUUAGUUGCCAGCAUUCAGUUGGGCACUCUAAGGAGACUGCCGGCUAAAAGUCGGAGGAAGGUGGGGAUGACGUCAAAUCAUCAUGCCCCUUAUGACCUGGGCUACACACGUGCUACAAUGGAUGGUACAAAGGGCUGCGAGACCGCGAGGUUAAGCCAAUCCCAUAAAACCAUUCUCAGUUCGGAUUGCAGGCUGCAACUCGCCUGCAUGAAGCCGGAAUCGCUAGUAAUCGCGGAUCAGCAUGCCGCGGUGAAUACGUUCCCGGGCCUUGUACACACCGCCCGUCACACCAUGGGAGUUGGCUUGACCUUAAGCCGGUGCGCUAACCGCAAGGAAGCAGCCGUCCACGGUCAGGUCAGCGACUGGGGUG
RNAcentral lists this ribosomal RNA (508 nucleotides) under uncultured bacterium. RNAcentral describes it as "bacterial SSU rRNA". It matches the Rfam family "Bacterial small subunit ribosomal RNA", at positions 975 to 1482 of the family's 1533-position model. The record is from RNAcentral.